Molecule: transfer RNA, 85 nt
Filed under: Felis catus (domestic cat)
Lineage: Eukaryota; Metazoa; Chordata; Mammalia; Carnivora; Felidae
Rfam family: tRNA
About the family: Transfer RNA (tRNA) molecules are approximately 80 nucleotides in length.
Source: Rfam by way of RNAcentral
GCCUGAGUGGCUCAGUCGGUUGAGCGUCCAACUUUGGCCCAGGUCAUGAUCUCACGGCUGGUGAGUUCAAGUCCCGCCUCAGGCU